RNAcentral lists this non-coding RNA (25 nucleotides) under Mus musculus (house mouse). The record is from RNAcentral. Lineage: Eukaryota; Metazoa; Chordata; Mammalia; Rodentia; Muridae.
UGACCUAGCUGAGGAUGACCCUGAA